GAAAUGCGAUAAGUAGUGUGAAUUGCAGAAUUCAGUGAAUCAUCGAAUCUUUGAACGCACAUUGCGCCCCUUGGUAUUCCAUGGGGCAUGCCUGUUCGAGCGUCAUUUGUACCUUCAAGCUCUGCUUGGUGUUGGGUGUUUGUCCCGCCUUUGUGCGCGGACUCGCCUUAAAGCAAUUGGCAGCCGGCGUAUAGAUUUCGGAGCGCAGCACAAUCCGCGCUUUGUACUCAUUACGACGACAUCCAUCAAGACAUUUUUUAACUCUUGACCUCGGAUCAGGUAGGGAUACCCGCUGAACUUAA
Molecule: unclassified non-coding RNA, 302 nt
Filed under: plant metagenome
Also listed under: 1 other name
Description: partial contains 5.8S ribosomal RNA, internal transcribed spacer 2, and large subunit ribosomal RNA
Rfam family: 5.8S ribosomal RNA (bases 1-105)
Source: RNAcentral